Rhinichthys klamathensis goyatoka is the source of this 484-nucleotide long non-coding RNA. RefSeq lists it as uncharacterized. The record is from RefSeq and is a predicted model, not a curated record. NCBI's taxonomy places the organism in Eukaryota, Metazoa, Chordata, Actinopteri, Cypriniformes, Leuciscidae. The transcript has 3 exons.
AAUAAUAUUAAGUAGGCCUAAUAAUGAACAAUCCAUCCUGUAAAUGUAACCUCCGUGUAAGGUGAGCACAGGGUGGCAGCUGCUUCCUGCAGUGUUUUCCUGCUCAGGUCAGUCUCUCCAGGGGAAGCAAUGACAAAAACUAGGCCAGAUGGUGCAGGAGAGCGAGGCAGAGUGGGCUGCUCUCAACCCGACCAACUGCACUGCAUUCAAGCAUGGGAGCUGAGCAGCAUUCCAAAACAGUGAGGGAAAGACAUUACAGCAGCCAUUUCCUGAGAGGAGGGGAGGAAAGCUCUUACAAGGCACUUCUUAAUAGGAUCGCUGAGCGCUGAGGCCUUAAGCAGACUACUCGUCUCCAAACAUCUUCAGGGAUAAAAUACAACCUUGGGUUUAGACAGUGUAAAACAUCUUUUUUUUCUCCCUUAGAAAUAGAGAUUGUGUGGGAAGUGUGCGAUUUUUCAAUGUUAACAGCGCAGGUUUAUAAAUG